This 17-nucleotide microRNA is filed under the name Homo sapiens (human). Its description in RNAcentral is "hsa-miR-4275". The record is from miRBase by way of RNAcentral. Lineage: Eukaryota; Metazoa; Chordata; Mammalia; Primates; Hominidae.
CCAAUUACCACUUCUUU